RNAcentral lists this ribosomal RNA (1276 nucleotides) under metagenome. RNAcentral describes it as "bacterial LSU rRNA". It matches the Rfam family "Bacterial large subunit ribosomal RNA", at positions 1659 to 2925 of the family's 2925-position model. The record is from RNAcentral.
ACAGGUGGGCGAGCUGAAUAUGCUCAGGCGCUUGAGAGAACUCGGGUGAAGGAACUCGGCAAAUUGACACCGUAACUUCGGGAUAAGGUGUGCCUCUGGUAGGUGAACGCGUACAGCGGGAGCCGAGAGAGGUUGCAAAGAAUCGGUGGCUGCGACUGUUUAACAAAAACACAGCACUCUGCAAAGACGAAAGUCGACGUAUAGGGUGUGACGCCUGCCCGGUGCCGGAAGGUUAAAUGAUGGGGUGCAAGCUCUUGAUUGAAGCCCCGGUAAACGGCGGCCGUAACGAUAACGGUCCUAAGGUAGCGAAAUUCCUUGUCGGGUAAGUUCCGACCUGCACGAAUGGCGUAACGAUGGCCACGCUGUCUCCACCCGAGACUCAGCGAAGUUGAAGUGUUUGUGAAGAUGCAAUCUCCCCGCGGCAAGACGGAAAGACCCCGUGCACCUUUACUGUAGCUUUGCAUUGGACUGUGAUGAGGUUUGUGUAGGAUAGCUGGGAGGCUUUGAAGCGGGGGCGCUAGCUCUCGUGGAGCCAACGUUGAAAUACCAGCCUGACGUCAUUGCGGUUCUAACCUAGCUCCCUUAGCGGGAGCGGGGACCGUGCAUGGUAGGCAGUUUGACUGGGGCGGUCUCCUCCCAAAGCGUAACGGAGGAGCUCGAAGGUUCGCUUAGCGCGGUCGGACAUCGCGCUGGACGUGCAAGGGCACAAGCGAGCUUGACUGCGAGACUGACAAGUCGAGCAGGUACGAAAGUAGGACCUAGUGAUCCGGUGGUUCUGAAUGGAAGGGCCAUCGCUCAACGGACAAAAGGUACGCCGGGGAUAACAGGCUGAUACCGCCCAAGAGUUCAUAUCGACGGCGGUGUUUGGCACCUCGAUGUCGGCUCAUCACAUCCUGGGGCUGAAGCCGGUCCCAAGGGUAUGGCUGUUCGCCAUUUAAAGUGGUACGUGAGCUGGGUUCAAAACGUCGUGAGACAGUUUGGUCCCUAUCUGCCGUGGGCGUUGGAGAUUUGACGGGGGCUGCUCCUAGUACGAGAGGACCGGAGUGGACGUACCGCUGGUGUACCAGUUGUCUCGCCAGAGGCAUCGCUGGGUAGCUAAGUACGGAAGCGAUAACCGCUGAAAGCAUCUAAGCGGGAAACGUGCCUGAAGAUGAGAUCUCCCGGGGCCUUGAGCCCCCUGAAGGACCGUGGCAGACCACCACGUUGAUAGGCCGGGUGUGGAAGCGCAGUAAUGCGUUCAGCUAACCGGUACUAAUAAUCCGUGCGGCUUGACUCC